Camellia sinensis is the source of this 710-nucleotide non-coding RNA. The record is from RefSeq and is a predicted model, not a curated record. NCBI's taxonomy places the organism in Eukaryota, Viridiplantae, Streptophyta, Magnoliopsida, Ericales, Theaceae.
GGCCACACUGCCAAACAAAACAACCAGGUACUAACUAGGCCACUGUUAUGCUCAAAGCCUUCUCACAACUCAAUAGCAUAAAAUAUUCUAAACACAAACACUACUGGGGAUGGAAGAGAUGCAGCAAAAUCCAUAAGACACUGGCAGCUGUGUAUGGCCUCGAUGGAGGGCAAUAAGGACAUCAUGGUGGUGGCAAGUCCAUGUUAUCUUGCACAAUGUUAUUAUUCAUGCCGAUUAUCUCUACAGCCAUGGAGUUUGCUCAUAGCCGCUUUAUCUUUAGUCCGGUUUGCAGCAUUUUCCCGUAUCUCUUCUUCUAAUGGAGAGGCCUACUUUCCUUUUGAUAUCGAGUGAUGCUACUUGACAGUAUCUAGUCAAUCUACUGUUAGCUUUCACAGCCCCCUCUCUGUAUCAAUUAUCAUCAAUGAUGCCUCUUCUAUCUCUUCUCAACUAUCAUCAACAAUGCCUCUGCUUUGCCUCAUAUUUCGAAUAGUGAAUCGGUGCAUGAACAGGCCUAAGCUGCUGCUUGGAGAGUUUUGGUCAGCCAGUCACCGUGCCUCCCGGGGAGGUUCCUUGUUGAACAGUCAAGUUUUGUGAACCACGUUAGGAUGUUUUGUUAUUUUAUUUUUGUUUAUCUAUACGCUGGGCUAAGUCCCUUAUGAUACUAAUUAUGUGGUGGCACAUAACGUAUGGAAGUUUGACAUUAUGUAUAU